The sequence is a transfer RNA, 82 nucleotides long. It matches the Rfam family "tRNA". From Rfam's summary of the family: Transfer RNA (tRNA) molecules are approximately 80 nucleotides in length. Their secondary structure includes four short double-helical elements and three loops (D, anti-codon, and T loops). The record is from Rfam.
GGCAGCGUGGCCGAGUGGUUAAGGCGACGGAUUUGAAAUCCGUUAGGCUAGUCCUGCGUUGGUUCGAAUCCAGCCGCUGUCG